This 431-nucleotide ribosomal RNA is filed under the name uncultured bacterium. RNAcentral's name for it is "partial 16S ribosomal RNA". It matches the Rfam family "Bacterial small subunit ribosomal RNA", at positions 29 to 507 of the family's 1533-position model. The record is from RNAcentral.
AACGAACGCUGGCGGCAGGCUUAACACAUGCAAGUCGAGCGCCCCGCAAGGGGAGCGGCGGACGGGUGAGUAACGCGUGGGAACGUACCUUUUGGUUCGGAACAACUCCGGGAAACUGGAGCUAAUACCGGAUAAGCCCUAACGGGGAAAGAUUUAUCGCCGAAAGAUCGGCCCGCGUCUGAUUAGCUCGUUGGUGAGGUAACGGCCCACCAAGGCGACGAUCAGUAGCUGGUCUGAGAGGAUGAUCAGCCACACUGGGACUGAGACACGGCCCAGACUCCUACGGGAGGCAGCAGUGGGGAAUAUUGGACAAUGGGCGCAAGCCUGAUCCAGCCAUGCCGCGUGAGUGAUGAAGGCCUUAGGGUUGUAAAGCUCUUUUGUCCGGGAAGAUAAUGACUGUACCGGAAGAAUAAGCCCCGGCUAACUUCGUG